This 460-nucleotide ribosomal RNA is filed under the name uncultured bacterium. RNAcentral's name for it is "partial 16S ribosomal RNA". It matches the Rfam family "Bacterial small subunit ribosomal RNA", at positions 338 to 795 of the family's 1533-position model. The record is from RNAcentral.
CCUACGGGUGGCAGCAGUGAGGAAUAUUGGUCAAUGGACGAGAGCCUGAACCAGCCAAGUCGCGUGAAGGAUGACUGCCCUAUGGGUUGUAAACCUCUUUUAUCUGGGAGUAAAAAAGGGUAUGCAUACCCCAUUGUGUGUACCCUGUGAAUAAGGAUCGGCUAACUCCGUGCCAGCAGCCGCGGUAAUACGGAGGAUCCGAGCGUUAUCCGGAUUUAUUGGGUUUAAAGGGUGCGUAGGUGGCUUGUUAAGUCAGGUGUGAAAGUUUGGGGCUCAACCGUAAAAAUGCAGUUGAAACUGGCAGUCUAGAGUACAGUAGAGGUGUGCGGAAUUCGUGGUGUAGCGGUGAAAUGCUUAGAUAUCACGAAGAACUCCGAUUGCGAAGGCAGCUCACUGGAGUGCAACUGACACUGAUGCUCGAAAGCGUGGGUAUCAAACAGGAUUAGAUACCCUAGUAGUC